This 253-nucleotide ribosomal RNA is filed under the name uncultured bacterium. RNAcentral's name for it is "partial 16S ribosomal RNA". It matches the Rfam family "Bacterial small subunit ribosomal RNA", at positions 524 to 776 of the family's 1533-position model. The record is from RNAcentral.
GACAGAGGGUGCAAACGUUGCUCGGAAUUACUGGGCGUAAAGGGCGCGUAGGCGGUUCGUUAAGUCCUGUGUGAAAUCCCCCGGCUCAACUGGGGAACUGCACAGGAAACUAGCGGGCUUGAGUUCGGGAAAGGGAGGCGGAAUUCCGGGUGUAGCGGUGAAAUGCGUAGAUAUCCGGAGGAACACCGGUGGCGAAGGCGGCUUCCUGGACCGACACUGACGCUGAGGCGCGAAAGCUAGGGGAGCAAACGGG